AACGAACGCUGGCGGCAUGCCUAACACAUGCAAGUCGAACGAAACCAUCGGGUCCAGUGGCGCACGGGUGCGUAACGCGUGGGAACCUGCCCUUAGGGUCGGAAUACCUCCACGACAGGGGUGAUAAUAGCGGAUAAUGUCUUCGGACCAAAGAUUUAUCGCCUUUGGUUGGGCCCGCGUGGGAUACGCUAGUUGGUAGGGUAAAAGCCUCCCAAGGCGACGAUCAAUAACUGGGCAGAGAGGAUGAUCAGCCACACUGGGACUGAGACACGGCCCAGACUCCUACGGGAGGCAGCAGUGGGUAAUAGUGGACAAUGGGCGAAAGGCUGAUCCAGCAAGGCCGCGUGAGUGAUGAAGGCCUUAGAGUUGUAAAGCUCUAUUACCCGGGAUGAUAAUGACAGUACCGGGAGAAUAAGCUCCGGCUAACUCCGUG
Molecule: ribosomal RNA, 433 nt
Filed under: uncultured bacterium
Lineage: Bacteria
Description: partial 16S ribosomal RNA
Rfam family: Bacterial small subunit ribosomal RNA
Source: RNAcentral